RNAcentral lists this ribosomal RNA (176 nucleotides) under uncultured bacterium. RNAcentral describes it as "partial 16S ribosomal RNA". It matches the Rfam family "Bacterial small subunit ribosomal RNA", at positions 1325 to 1500 of the family's 1533-position model. The record is from RNAcentral.
GCCGGAAUUGCUAGUAAUGGCAGGUCAGCAUACUGCCGUGAAUACGUUCCCGGGCCUUGUACACACCGCCCGUCACACCAUGAGAGUUGGGAAUACCCGAAGCCUGUGAGCUUAACUUUUAGAGGCAGCAGUCGAAGGUAGAAUCAAUGAUUGGGGUGAAGUCGUAACAAGGUAUC